CAGUCUGACUGUGCCACAUUUAACUUACUGUAGAGGUGUAAAUACCUCUAUGAAAAUAAAAUACCAGAAGACCCUAAAAAUUUUAUAUAAAGUGUAUUAUAUAUUUAUACUAUCAUUUUGUUGGGGCGACAGAAUAGCAUAUAACCUAUUUUAAGUAAUACAUGAAGUUUUUAUAAAGACAGUAAAAAUUACUCUAGGGAUAACAGCAUAAUUAUUUAAUAGUUUGUGACCUCGAUGUUGGACUAAGGAAGGUUUUAUUCACAAGAUUAAAUCGCAUGUUCUGUUCGAACAAAUAUCCUUACAUGAUCUGAG
RNAcentral lists this ribosomal RNA (312 nucleotides) under Humboldtiana durangoensis. Its description in RNAcentral is "partial 16S ribosomal RNA". Lineage: Eukaryota; Metazoa; Mollusca; Gastropoda; Stylommatophora; Humboldtianidae. The record is from RNAcentral.